UACCAGCACCCCCGAGUGGUCGGGACGAUUAUUGGGCCUAAAGCAUCCGUAGCCGGUCCUGCGAGUCUUCCGUUAAAUCCAGCUGCUCAACAGAUGGGCUGCGGAAGAUACUACAGGGCUAGGAGGCGGGAGAGGCAAGCGGUACUUUAUGGGUAGGGGUAAAAUCCUUUGAUCCAUAGAAGACCACCAGUGGCGAAGGCGGCUUGCCAGAACGCGCUCGACGGUGAGGGAUGAAAGCUGGGGGGAGCAAACCGG
RNAcentral lists this ribosomal RNA (255 nucleotides) under uncultured bacterium. Its description in RNAcentral is "partial 16S ribosomal RNA". It matches the Rfam family "Archaeal small subunit ribosomal RNA", at positions 474 to 727 of the family's 1478-position model. The record is from RNAcentral.